RNAcentral lists this ribosomal RNA (301 nucleotides) under uncultured bacterium. RNAcentral's name for it is "partial 16S ribosomal RNA". It matches the Rfam family "Bacterial small subunit ribosomal RNA", at positions 509 to 807 of the family's 1533-position model. The record is from RNAcentral.
CAGCAGCCGCGGUAAUACAGAGGGUGCAAGCGUUAAUCGGAAUUACUGGGCGUAAAGCGCGCGUAGGUGGUUUGUUAAGUUGGAUGUGAAAGCCCCGGGCUCAACCUGGGAACUGCAUCCAAAACUGGCAAGCUAGAGUAUGGUAGAGGGUGGUGGAAUUUCCUGUGUAGCGGUGAAAUGCGUAGAUAUAGGAAGGAACACCAGUGGCGAAGGCGACCACCUGGACUGAUACUGACACUGAGGUGCGAAAGCGUGGGGAGCAAACAGGAUUAGAUACCCGAGUAGUCCCUGUCUCUUAUAC